RNAcentral lists this ribosomal RNA (253 nucleotides) under uncultured bacterium. RNAcentral describes it as "partial 16S ribosomal RNA". It matches the Rfam family "Bacterial small subunit ribosomal RNA", at positions 524 to 776 of the family's 1533-position model. The record is from RNAcentral.
UACAGAGGGGGCGAGCGUUGUUCGGAAUUACUGGGCGUAAAGGGCGCGUAGGCGGCCUGCUAAGUCGAACGUGAAAUCCCCAGGCUCAACCUGGGAACUGCGUCCGAUACUGGAUGGCUUGAAUCCGGGAGAGGGAUGCAGAAUUCCAGGUGUAGCGGUGAAAUGCGUAGAUAUCUGGAGGAAUACCGGUGGCGAAGGCGGCAUCCUGGACCGGCAUUGACGCUGAGGAGCGAAAGCCAGGGGAGCAAACGGG